CGAAAGCCUGACGGAGCAAUACCGCGUGAGGGAGGAAGGCUUUUGGGUUGCAAACCUCUUUUUUCAAGGAAGAAGCAAGUGACGGUACUUGAAGAAUCAGCAUCGGCUAACUCCGUGCCAGCAGCCGCGGUAAUACGGAGGAUGCAAGCGUUAUCCGGAAUCAUUGGGCGUAAAGCGUCCGCAGGUGGCUGUUCAAGUCUGCUGUCAAAGACAGAAGCUUAACUUCUGAAAGGCGGUGGAAACUGAAGAGCUAGAGUAAAGCAGGGGUAGAGAGAAUUCCCAGUGUAGCGGUGAAAUGCGUAGAGAUUGGGAAGAACACCAGUGGCGAAGGCGCUCUACUGGGCUUUAACUGACACUCAGAGACGAAAGCUAGGGGAGCG
Molecule: ribosomal RNA, 380 nt
Filed under: uncultured cyanobacterium
Lineage: Bacteria; Bacillati; Cyanobacteriota
Description: bacterial SSU rRNA
Rfam family: Bacterial small subunit ribosomal RNA
Source: RNAcentral